RNA transcript from Archocentrus centrarchus (flier cichlid), 1044 nucleotides. It is a transcript of the gene named general transcription factor IIH, polypeptide 4, with no coding region annotated. The record is from RefSeq and is a predicted model, not a curated record. The transcript is spliced from 7 exons. Lineage: Eukaryota; Metazoa; Chordata; Actinopteri; Cichliformes; Cichlidae.
GUCACGUGAUCACGGCAACAUGGCUGCUUCGACUUGAGAAAUUUUGCAAGCAAUUACAAUGCAGUGUUUUGGACGAAAUACGUAUUUAUUUUCAGGAACUCAUCGGUUCUAUUAAACACCCACCUUUACGGAAGUUUGGAGUAGGAAGUAGGGGGACAGAACUUUACUACAUUGAAUGACAUUCCUCUUUCCUUCGGGAGAUAAUGAAGCUGCGUGUCCAGCUGCAGUGUAAGAAUUUGCAUGAAUAUUUAAGAGAGCUGAAUCCGGAGAUUUUGGACAGACUCUACAACCAUCCAGCAACAUGUCUGGCUGUCUACAGGGAGCACCCCUCUCUGGCAAAGAAUUAUGUGAUGCGCAUGCUGUUCUUGGAUCAGCCUCUCCCCCAGGCAGCUGUGGCAUUGUGGGUAAAGAAAGAUGGUCAGAAGGAUCACGAUGAAUGUUGGCAGGGUUCCGGCUCUGGCACAGUCAGCAGCUGCAGGGCGGUCUGCAGGGAUACAUUUUAAAUCCGGUGUUCAAAGACAACCUGAGGACAGCUUUGCUUGGUGGAGGGCAAGCAUGGGCUGAUGAGGGGAGCACCCUGGGUCCUGACCGCCACACACGAGACAUUGAGAGUCUUGACCGCUACGCUAUGGAGCGCUGGGAGAUCAUCCUGCAGUUCAUGGUGGGUUCUCCCAGUGCUGUCAGUCAGGACCUGGCACAGCUUUUGGUUCAAGCAGGCCUCAUGAAAAGGGUCUGGGCUGUCUGGUGUGGCAGGAUGUGGCCCACAGAGUGAUGGUGGUGACACCGCAGGGACACAGCGAGGUCAAGAGGUUCUGGAAGCGACAGAGAUCUCACAUGUAGCUGGAGGAGAAGAAACGAGGAGCACUGGAGUAAGACCUGAGGACAGGGUUUUCUUGCUUUCCACCGUCUUCAUUGUUGUCAGUACUACAAAAAAGUGAGGAUGAUUGUGUAUGUUUUAUAAAAUGCUACCAUCCUUGUAUUAAAAUGAACAGUUUCUGCUCAUUCUUUCCGAUUUGAGUAGUUAUGUAAAUCCUGUAUGCAAGU